RNAcentral lists this unclassified non-coding RNA (22 nucleotides) under Chlamydomonas reinhardtii. RNAcentral describes it as "small RNA Cre_3813". The record is from RNAcentral. Lineage: Eukaryota; Viridiplantae; Chlorophyta; Chlorophyceae; Chlamydomonadales; Chlamydomonadaceae.
UUCGAAGUCGGCACUAGCAGUC